RNAcentral lists this ribosomal RNA (478 nucleotides) under uncultured anaerobic ammonium-oxidizing bacterium. Its description in RNAcentral is "bacterial SSU rRNA". It matches the Rfam family "Bacterial small subunit ribosomal RNA", at positions 365 to 833 of the family's 1533-position model. The record is from RNAcentral.
UUCGCAAUGCCCGAAAGGGUGACGAAGCGACGCCGCGUGGGUGAGGAAGGCCCUCGGGUUGUAAAGCCCUGUCAGGAGUUAAGAAAUGUAGAUACGCUAAUAUCGUAUCUAUUUGACAAAGGCUCCAAAGGAAGCCACGGCUAACUCUGUGCCAGCAGCCGCGGUAAUACAGAGGUGGCAAGCGUCGUUCGGAAUUAUUGGGCGUAAAGAGCACGUAGGUGGAUUUGUAAGUCAGAUGUGAAAGCCUUCUGUUCAACGGAAGAAUUGCAUCUGAAACUACAAACCUUGAGUAUAGGAGGGGAGAAUGGAACUUCUGGUGGAGCGGUGAAAUGCGUAGAUAUCAGAAGGAACGCCGGCGACGAAAGCGAUUCUCUGGCCUAUUACUGACACUCAGUGUGCGAAAGCUAGGGGAGCAAACGGGAUUAGAUACCCCGGUAGUCCUAGCCGUAAACGAUGGGCACUAAGUAGAGGGGUUUUA